GAUGAACGCUGGCGGUAUGCUUAACACAUGCAAGUCGAACGGACUCUUCGGAGUUAGUGGCGGACGGGUGAGUAACGCGUGAGAAUCUGGCUUUGGGUUCGGGACAACCACUGGAAACGGUGGCUAAUACCGGAUGUGCCGAGUGGUAAAAGAGAAAUUGCCUGAAGAUGAGCUCGCGUCUGAUUAGCUAGUUGGUGAGGUAAAGGCUCACCAAGGCAGCGAUCAGUAGCUGGUCUGAGAGGAUGACCAGCCACACUGGGACUGAGACACGGCCCAGACUCCUACGGGAGGCAGCAGUGGGGAAUUUUCCGCAAUGGGCGAAAGCCUGACGGAGCAAUACCGCGUGAGGGAAGAAGGCUCUUGGGUUGUAAACCUCUUUUCUUAGGGAAGAACAAAAUGACGGUACCUAAGGAAUCAGCAUCGGCUAACUCCGUG
RNAcentral lists this ribosomal RNA (435 nucleotides) under uncultured bacterium. RNAcentral describes it as "partial 16S ribosomal RNA". It matches the Rfam family "Bacterial small subunit ribosomal RNA", at positions 28 to 507 of the family's 1533-position model. The record is from RNAcentral.